RNAcentral lists this ribosomal RNA (482 nucleotides) under uncultured bacterium. RNAcentral describes it as "partial 16S ribosomal RNA". It matches the Rfam family "Bacterial small subunit ribosomal RNA", at positions 30 to 505 of the family's 1533-position model. The record is from RNAcentral.
AUUGAACGCUGGCGGCAGGCCUAACACAUGCAAGUCGAGCGGAUGAAGGGAGCUUGCUCCUGGAUUCAGCGGCGGACGGGUGAGUAAUGCCUAGGAAUCUGCCUGGUAGUGGGGGAUAACGUCCGGAAACGGGCGCUAAUACCGCAUACGUCCUGAGGGAGAAAGUGGGGGAUCUUCGGACCUCACGCUAUCAGAUGAGCCUAGGUCGGAUUAGCUAGUUGGUGGGGUAAAGGCCUACCAAGGCGACGAUCCGUAACUGGUCUGAGAGGAUGAUCAGUCACACUGGAACUGAGACACGGUCCAGACUUCUACGGGAGGCAGCAGUGGGGAAUAUUGGACAAUGGGCGAAAGCCUGAUCCAGCCAUGCCGCGUGUGUGAAGAAGGUCUUCGGAUUGUAAAGCACUUUAAGUUGGGAGGAAGGGCAGUAAGUUAAUACCUUGCUGUUUUGACGUUACCAACAGAAUAAGCACCGGCUAACUUCG